RNAcentral lists this long non-coding RNA (1534 nucleotides) under Homo sapiens (human). Its description in RNAcentral is "non-protein coding lnc-HOXD13-3:8". The record is from RNAcentral. Lineage: Eukaryota; Metazoa; Chordata; Mammalia; Primates; Hominidae.
UAAUUUCUAACUAGGUGGUGGCCACUGCACAAACUAGAUUCUGCUCACUCUGGGCCUCACUCCACUUCCUCUGUGACAGAUCAUAUGACACAUGAUAUGUCAAGACAUAUCAUGUCUGACAAACCUGAUAUGGCUGAGAUCAAGAAAUUUGAUGUCAAAAAUAGAAGAAGACAGAAUUGCAAGAGAAAAAUCCACUGCCUUCCGAAGAAACAAUAGAACAGGAGAAGCAGGCAGACAAAUCUUACGGAGGCAUGCGCCGCCAAUAUGCACUGUACAUUCAACGAGAAUUGCCUUCUUAUUUUACUUAUUUUAGCUGUUAAUUUUGUAAGAUGCAAAGAGGUUGGAUCAACUUUUAAAGGACUUUGCUGCCCUUUUCACAUCAAACAAUAGAAAACUGCUGACGAUGAAGGCCACACCUACCUCUCCCAUCUGCUUGUCUGGCUGUCAAGGAAGGAAAAUAACUUGCAUGUUGGUGAAGGAAGAAGAAGAGUAGGAAGACAGGUAAAUCUAGAGUAAAACCAAGCUGCCCCAAGGUGUCCUGCAGGUUCUCAAAUGCAGUUUAAAUGAAGUUUAAUUAGAGUGCCAUUUUUCUUGUUCAAAUGAUUUUAAUUAUUAGAAUGCACAAACUUUAUUUUAAAAUAAACAGUUUUAGGCUGGACGUGGUGGUUCAUGCCUGUAAUCCUAACACUUUGGGAGGCUGAAACGGGUGGAUCACUUGAGGUCAGGAGUUUGAGACCAGCCUGGCCAUCAUGGUGAAACCCCACCUCCACUAAAAAUACAAAAAUUAGCUGGGUGUGGUGGCUCGCACCUGUAAUCCCAGCUACUCAGGAGGCUGAGGCAGGAGAAUCACUGUUCACAUUAAAUUAUUGUAUUUUCAUCAUUGCUAUAGCAGUUAAUCUUAUUAAAUAAAACAUAGCAAUUUAAAUGCACUAAAGUCUUAAGACUUUUCCAGUUAAAGUUUGUUGAGCAUGUAGAAAUUACUUAGUAUCUUAGAGUUCUAGGUGCAAAAUAUACUUUUUAAUAUCAUUAUUUUGGGAGGUUAGUCUUUCUACUCCCUACUCUCCUCUCUACCAGCCUCAUCCAGAGAAAUAACUCUCUCAAGGUACUGAUAAGAGAUGCCACAGUCAGGCUAGUCAAUGGAGUGAAAGAUGUCACUGCCAGAUCCCCUGUAUAGUGGCACAGACUCCUGGAAUUGAAACGGAGCUAGCUUAAGGAGUCAUUUAAUCCAGACCUCUUUCUUCCUGCAAGGGGUCUGCCUGAAAUGUCUAAGACAGAUGGUUUGUCCUUAAAAUUCACUAGGGACGGAGAUUCUACAAUAUUACUCUGGAGUCUUUUCUAAUGUUUAAUCACUAUUACUGUCAGGUCGGUUUAAGCUCUUUCCUGCUAGUUUUUCCUCUGCAGACAUGGAAAACGGUUGAACACCAACCUCUUUAUAAUCACCUUGCCAAUACGCAAAAACAGUUACCAUGGUGCCCUUCGGCCUUGUUUUUUCAAAAGCAUGUAAUUUAUCUCCUCUCCAUUUUUAACACAUCAA